GAUGAACGCUGGCGGCGUGCCUAAUACAUGCAAGUCGAGCGAACAGACGAGGAGCUUGCUCCUCUGACGUUAGCGGCGGACGGGUGAGUAACACGUGGAUAACCUACCUAUAAUACUGGGAUAACUUCGGGAAACCGGAGCUAAUACCGGAUAAUAUAUUGAACCGCAUGGUUCAAUAGUGAAAGACGGUUUUGCUGUCACUUAUAGAUGGAUCCGCGCCGCAUUAGCUAGUUGGUAAGGUAACGGCUUACCAAGGCAACGAUGCGUAGCCGACCUGAGAGGGUGAUCGGCCACACUGGAACUGAGACACGGUCCAGACUCCUACGGGAGGCAGCAGUAGGGAAUCGUCCGCAAUGGGCGAAAGCCUGACGGAGCAACGCCGCGCGAGUGAUGAAGGUCUUCGGAUCGUAAAACUCUGUUAUGAGGGAAGAACAAAUGUGUAAGUAACUAUGCACGUCUUGACGGUACCUAAUCAGAAAGCCACGGCUAACUACGUG
Molecule: ribosomal RNA, 497 nt
Filed under: uncultured bacterium
Lineage: Bacteria
Description: partial 16S ribosomal RNA
Rfam family: Bacterial small subunit ribosomal RNA
Source: RNAcentral